UACAGACAUGGUUUCUACUUUCUUAUGAAACGAGAGAAACACACUGAAUAUAGCGGAGAAAGAAAAGAGGUUCAUUUUUCUGUCAGGGGAAGAGUGAUUGAUGCCCAGUCUGGUCAAUCUAUUGUUAAUGCCACCAUAGUGAUAGAAGACUCCAGGCAUAAAGUACACACUAGCAGCAAGGACAGUACUGGAGGCUUUUAGCUCAAGAGAUUUACCAGUUUCAUGCCUUUGCAGCUGGGAACUCAGCAGCUCAGUGUUCAGGCUCAGGGCUUUCAGGAUCAACUCAGAUUAAGGUUGGGUUGUUGAGAUCUUUCCUGGUUGAUGCCGGUGUCCAGUGAAUUUGUCCUCACAUCAGAAGGCAUUAUCUGUUGUUAUUGAGUUCAGAAAAACAAUACUCACCAAGGCCAAGCAGUGGUGCUGGCUGCUGCUUGUAAACAAUGUAAGUGUAUCAGUUAUAUUUUUAAGCUCUGCACAUUUAAUGUGUGCUGUAUUAAUAAGUUUGUUGUGAAUACCCACUUACAUAUGGUUAUAAAAAUAA
Long non-coding RNA from Trichomycterus rosablanca, 538 nucleotides. RefSeq lists it as uncharacterized. NCBI's taxonomy places the organism in Eukaryota, Metazoa, Chordata, Actinopteri, Siluriformes, Trichomycteridae. The record is from RefSeq and is a predicted model, not a curated record. The transcript has 4 exons.